GAGUUUGAUCCUGGCUCAGGACGAACGCUGGCGGCGUGCUUAACACAUGCAAGUCAAGGGGGCCCAGCAAUGGGCAACCGGCGAACGGGUGCGUAACACGUGAGCAACCUACCGAACUGUGGGGGAUAGCCGGCCUAACGGCCGAGUAAUACCGCAUACGCUUUCAGUGAGGCAUUUCAUUGAAAGGAAACCUACGGGACAGAUCGAGGGGCUCGCGGCCUAUCAGCUAGUUGGCGAGGUAACGGCUCACCAAGGCAACGACGGGUAGCUGGUCUGAGAGGAUGGCCAGCCACAUUGGGACUGAGAUACGGCCCAGACUCCUACGGGAGGCAGCAGUGGGGAAUCUUGCGCAAUGGCCUAACGGCUGACGCAGCGACGCCGCGUGUGGGAUGAAGCUCUUCGGAGUGUAAACCACUGUUGCCCGGGACGAACAGCUCGAUUAAUCGAGCCUGACGGUACCGGGUGAGGAAGCACCGGCUAACUCCGUGCCAGCAGCCGCGGUAAUACGGGGGGUGCGAGCGUUGUCCGGAAUCACUGGGCGUAAAGGGCGCGUAGGUGGUUUGAUAAGGGUGUGGUGAAAGUCCGGGGCUCAACCCCGGAUCUGCCGUGCCGACUGUCAAACUCGAGGACUGUAGAGGCAGACGGAAUUCCGGGUGUAGCGGUGGAAUGCGUAGAGAUCCGGAGGAAGACCGGUGG
RNAcentral lists this ribosomal RNA (696 nucleotides) under uncultured bacterium. RNAcentral describes it as "bacterial SSU rRNA". It matches the Rfam family "Bacterial small subunit ribosomal RNA", at positions 9 to 715 of the family's 1533-position model. The record is from RNAcentral.